UACGUAGGUGGCAAGCGUUGUCCGGAUUUACUGGGCGUAAAGGGCGUGCAGGCGGUUUGUUAAGUGCAGGGUGAAAGCUCCCGGCUCAACUGGGAGAGGUCCUUGCAUACUGGCAAACUCGAGGGAGGCAGAGGAAAGUGGAAUUCCCGGUGUAGUGGUGAUAUGCGUAGAUAUCUGGAGGAACAUCGGUGGCGAAGGCGGCAUCCUGGACCGGUAUUGACGCUGAGGCGCGAAAGCCAGGGGAGCAAACGGG
RNAcentral lists this ribosomal RNA (253 nucleotides) under uncultured bacterium. RNAcentral's name for it is "partial 16S ribosomal RNA". It matches the Rfam family "Bacterial small subunit ribosomal RNA", at positions 524 to 776 of the family's 1533-position model. The record is from RNAcentral.